AUGAUUCACAGUAGAUUCCAGUAUUAAUAGGUUUUGAUCAUAAAUCACAAAAUAAUAGCUUUGCCUAAUGGAAGCAGCAAAUAUUUAAAUGAGGGCUUCUAACUUGUUUCCUUAUUUAAAAUUUAUGUAAUCUGGGCACCACAAGUGAUGAUGUAUGCCUUAAGUCCCAGCACUCAGGAAGCAGAGGCAGAUGGAUCUCUAUGAAUUUGAGGCCAGCCUGGUCUACAGAACAAGUAACAGGACAGCCAAGGUUACGCACAGAAACACUCAACAAAGCAAAGCAAAGCAAAACAAAACAAAAUUAUGUUUAGAUGGAUUAUUUCCCCCCACCUAAUAUCUAUUUCUUUUUGAUAUUUUCUCAAGUUGUAAAGGUACACAGUAAAGUAGGUAUCUGUGACUUUAUUGUACUAAGAGGCUAUAGAUACUUCUGAGACCAAACAGAAAGGUCCCGGACUCUACCACCAAAGCUUCCUUCUCUGGCUUGCACUGUUUCUACAGGACUUGUCUCAGACAACCAGGUCUUGAAAGCACAAGAUUCCCACGAAGAAUUCAGAGACUUUCCCGCAACCAUCAUAUGGACAGAAAAGCCUGGCUUACUCUGACUAUUACAUGAUCUUCCUGCUGGCGACGAGCCCUCUGUCACCUCUCUACAUGCCAAGUGCAAACAGACUCAACAUGUAUAAGCAAAUCAUUGUACCAAAUGCAGCCCACCAGCAGAGAGCAAGGAUCAGAUGAGAGAUAGUCAAAACUCCUAGACUGGCACGGUCCAAGAUCACAAAGAUUAUAUCUGACACCCCCUCAAAGAACUCUUCUCCGUGUAGUGUCUUCCUGUGUCCAUACAAGGUCUCAAAGGGAUGACAGCAGUGGUGAUUGGCACGGGCUUACCUUGUUAUCACAAAGUGGCUAUUUGAACUUCUGCUUCAGGGUCACCACAACUGUUAAGCUCUCCUCUGGCCACUUCCUGCUGUGCAGUCCUUCCUGCAAUGCCUUCUUCAGUUUCCCCUACCUCUUAUCCUGUAGUCAGUUUUAAUUCCUUUCAUUUUUAAUAAAC
This 1051-nucleotide long non-coding RNA is filed under the name Mus spicilegus (steppe mouse). RNAcentral's name for it is "lncRNA (ENSMSIG00000007694.1)". Lineage: Eukaryota; Metazoa; Chordata; Mammalia; Rodentia; Muridae. The record is from RNAcentral.